Molecule: ribosomal RNA, 475 nt
Filed under: uncultured Candidatus Portiera sp.
Lineage: Bacteria; Pseudomonadati; Pseudomonadota; Gammaproteobacteria; Johnevansiales (SeqCode); Johnevansiaceae (SeqCode)
Description: bacterial SSU rRNA
Rfam family: Bacterial small subunit ribosomal RNA
Source: RNAcentral
AUUGAACGCUGGCGGCAGGCCUAAUACAUGCAAGUCGAACGAGAAAGCAUCUUCGGAUGUGAGUACAGUGGCGGACGGGUGAGUAAUACAUAGGAAUCUACCCAAUGGUGGGGGAUAGCUCGGGGAAACUCGAAUUAAUACCGCAUAAUCUCUACGGAGUAAAGGGGGCUUCGGCUCUCGCCAUCGGAUGAGCCUAUGCAGGAUUAGCUUGUUGGUAAGGUAAUGGCUUACCAAGGCAACGAUCCUUAGCUGGUUUGAGAGGAUGACCAGCCACAUCGGGACUGAGACACGGCCCGGACUUCUACGGAAGGCAGCAGUAGGGAAUAUUGGACAAUGAGCGAAAGCUUGAUCCAGCCAUGCCGCGUGUGUGAUGACGGCCUUCGGGUUGUAAAGCACUUUAGGUAAUGAGGAAAAAUUAGAUGUUAAUACCACCUAAUCAUGACGUUAAUUACAGAAUAAGCACCGGCUAAAUCCG